RNAcentral lists this long non-coding RNA (1531 nucleotides) under Phasianus colchicus (ring-necked pheasant). RNAcentral's name for it is "lncRNA (ENSPCLG00000021095.1)". Lineage: Eukaryota; Metazoa; Chordata; Aves; Galliformes; Phasianidae. The record is from RNAcentral.
GAAUACUUCAAGAUCUGGGCAAGAGGCAGGCUCCCUUUGUGAGGGGCAGCGCUGGGGGCUGCGGACAGCUGGAGAGGCUCCAGUAGGCUGGGAGAUGUGUAUGUGGAUGUUGGCUUGGAAACAGCAGCCCCAGCUCAGUGGCACUGCAGUCACUGACUGACUUGGGGCAGUGAAGAUGUAUACAAGAAGGCCAAGCUUCUCACUGCCCCAUCUUGCUGGGACAUGGCCGGAGUCAGCACGAGGAGAUGGUGGAGCUGCAUGUUCAAAGCCACAGCAGAUGGGGACCUGCAGGACAACCACAGGCAUCGUCCGUGCCCCACAUCUGUAACACACUUGGGUCUGUGUGAUAAUAACAGUGGAGUUAAAUCCAGCUGGCAACUGGUUGUAAGUGCUGUUCCCAAGGAGUCAGUAUUGGAGCUUGUCCUGUUUAAUAUCUUUACUGAUGAUGUGGAUGAGGGAAUUGAGUGCACACUGAUAAGUCAAAGACAACACCAAGCUGGGAAGAGGAAGUGUCAAUCUGCUUGGGGAUAGGCUGAAUCAAUUAACUGAGGCCAGUGGGAUAAAGUUGAACAAGACCAAGUGCCAGGUCCUGCUCCUUGGUCACAACAGCCCUAUGCAACGCUACAGGCUUGGCACAGAGUGGCUGGAAGACUGUGCUGAGGAAAAGGACCUGGGGGUGUUGGUUGAUGUUCAGCUGAACGUGAGCUGGCAGUGUGCCCAGGUGGCCAUGAAGGGACAUACAAAUGAUGGACCAGGGCAAGGAAAGACACCCAAUGGUUCUCAAGCCCAGCGUCAGCCCAGGCCCAUAGCGAUGCCCACAAGCUCCUUGCAGGAGUGCAGAACAGCCCCACGGUCCUGUUGAGGACGUGGAGCUGGGACAUGAGCUCCACCCUGUGUCCUUACAUCUGGGAGCAGAUGAGCGGGCCACUGUUAGGCCUGUAACAAGCACAGUGUCUUUAUGAUGAAUUACAGCCUUCCUUUUCAUAUCUACAACUGACUUUGACACAUGUAGCCGCAGCUGGCCCUACCUCUACAGUUUUAUUAGAUAAAUCUGAUUGAUGAGGGGUUGUUUUUUUUAAUUCCUCUCAAUCUCUUUAAAUUAAAAAAGGAGAGAGAGAGAGUUGAAAAGAGCUGUAAUUGCAAGUGAGCACUACAGAAACCUACAGCCAGCAGGCAUGCUUCAAAGGCAGCGGGGCAGCCUGGACCCUUUAGUUGCUGGCUAGCAGGGCUUCAAAUACGCCUACAUGAUGACUGUGUUUUAAUUUUGAUCCAUACCAAAAGAGCUUAAUUGGAAGGUGCUGUAAAUUUUUUGAUGUGUAUGUCCUUUUCAUAGAAUCACAGAAUCAUUUGAGUUGGAAGGGACCCCUAAAGGUCAUCUAGUCCAACUCCCCUGCAGUGAACAGGACAUCUACAGCUCCAUCAGGUGCUCAGAGCCUGGUCCAGUAACCUUGAGCACUUGUAGGAUGGGGCAUCCAUCUCCUCUCUGGGCAAUCUGUUCCAGUGCCUCACCACACCUACUGCAAAAAAUAUU